AGCAGCCGCGGUAAUUCCAGCUCCAAUAGCGUAUAUUAAAGUUGUUGCAGUUAAAAGCUCGUAGUUGAACUUCGGGGUUUACCCAUUGGUCAGGCUUAAUUGUCUGCACUGGUGAGAUGAAUCUCUACCUUCUGAGGAACUUUCAUGCCAUUUAUUUGGUGUGAUGGGAAAUCAGGACUGUUACUUUGAAAAAAUUAGAGUGUUUAAAGCAGGCUAACGUCUGAAUACAUUAGCAUGGAAUAAUGAAAUAGGACGGACUGAUUCUAUUUCGUUGGUUUCUAGGAUCACCGUAAUGAUUAAUAGGGAUAGUUGGGGGCAUUAGUAUUCAAUUGUCAGAGGUGAAAUUCUUGGAUUUAUUGAAGACUAACUACUGCGAAAGCAUUUGCCAAGGAUGUUUUCAUUAAUCAAGAACGAAAGUUAGGGGAUCGAAGACGAUCAGAUACCGUCGUAGUCUUAACCAUAAACUAUGCCGACUAGGGAUCGGACGAAGUUAAUUUUAUAAUGACGCGUUCGGCACCUUACGGGAAACCAAAGUGUUUGGGUU
Molecule: ribosomal RNA, 544 nt
Filed under: uncultured Glomeromycotina
Lineage: Eukaryota; Fungi; Glomeromycota
Description: SSU rRNA
Rfam family: Eukaryotic small subunit ribosomal RNA
Source: RNAcentral